RNAcentral lists this ribosomal RNA (1326 nucleotides) under metagenome. RNAcentral describes it as "bacterial LSU rRNA". It matches the Rfam family "Bacterial large subunit ribosomal RNA", at positions 1561 to 2925 of the family's 2925-position model. The record is from RNAcentral.
AGUGGAUGGGGAACAACCUAGUUGUGCGUGUGUAAAGGUAGUGCCAAGAAAAAGCGGUGAUCAUGAUGAAAAUCAAUUCCCGGUACCCGAAACCGACACAGGUGGGCAAGUAGAGAAUACUAAGGGGCGCGAGGUAACUCUCUCCAAGGAACUCGGCAAAAUGACCCCGUAACUUAGGGAGAAGGGGUGCCACCGAGAGGUGGUCGCAGUGAAGAGGCCCAGGCGACUGUUUAGCAAAAACAUAGGUCUCUGCAAACUCGAAAGAGGAGGUAUAGGGGCUGACGCCUGCCCAGUGCCGGAAGGUUAAAGAAGUUGGUCAGUCUUAGGAUGAAGCUAGCGACUGAAGCCCCGGUGAACGGCGGCCGUAACUAUAACGGUCCUAAGGUAGCGAAAUUCCUUGUCGGGUAAGUUCCGACCCGCACGAAAGGCGUAACGAUCUGGGCGCUGUCUCGGAGAGAGGCUCGGCGAAAUAGGAUUGUCUGUGAAGAUACGGACUACCUGCAUUUGGACAGAAAGACCCUAUGAAGCUUUACUAUAGCUUGGAAUUGUGUUCGGGCUUCCUGUGCGCAGGAUAGGUGGGAGGCGUAGAAGGUAUUCUUGUGGGGAUACUGGAGCCAACGGUGAGAUACCACUCUCAGGAGGCUAGAAUUCUAACUUAAUUAAGGACAGUUUCAGGUGGGUAGUUUGACUGGGGCGGUCGCCUCCAAAAAGGUAACGGAGGCGUACAAAGGUUCCCUCAGACUGGUUGGAAAUCCGUCGCAGAGUGCAAAGGCAGAAGGGAGCUUGACUGCGAGAAGUACAGUUCGAGCAGGGUGGAAACACGGUCUUAGUGAUCCGACGGUGCUGUGUGGAAGGGCCGUCGUUCAACGGAUAAAAGUUACUCUAGGAUAACAGGCUGAUCUCCCCCAAGAGUUCACAUCGACGGGGAGGUUUGGCACCUCGAUGUCGGCUCAUCGCAACCUGGGGCGGAAGUACGUCCCAAGGGUUGGGCUGUUCGCCCAUUAAAGCGGUACGUGAGCUGGGUUCAGAACGUCGUGAGACAGUUCGGUCCAUAUCCGAUGUAGGCGUGAGAAUAUUGAGAGGAGCCUUCCUUAGUACGAGAGGACCGGGAAGGACGCACCGCUGGUGUACCUGUUAUGAUGCCAAUUGUAAACGCAGGGUAGCCAAGUGCGGAGAGGAUAACCGCUGAAAGCAUCUAAGUGGGAAGCCCACCUCAAGAUGAGUAUUCUGGUGUAAGGUCACGGGAAGACGACCCGUAAAUAGGCACGAGGUGGAAGUGCAGAGAUGUAUGAAGCCGAAGUGUACUAAUAGACCGUCGGCUUGACC